CCUACGGGUGGCAGCAGUGGGGAAUAUUGCACAAUGGGGGAAACCCUGAUGCAGCGACGCCGCGUGAGUGAAGAAGUAAUUCGUUACGUAAAGCUCUAUCAGCAGGGAAGAAACACUGACCUUACGGUCAGCAGACGGUACCUGAGUAAGAAGCCACGGCUAACUACGUGCCAGCAGCCGCGGUAAUACGUAGGGGGCAAGCGUUAUCCGGAUUGACUGGGUGUAAAGGGAGCGUAGACGGGGCGCCAAGUCUGGAGUGAAAUGCCGCAGCUUAACUGCGGAACUGCUUUGGAAACUGGCGAACUAGAGUGCGGGAGGGGUAAGCGGAAUUCCUAGUGUAGCGGUGAAAUGCGUAGAUAGUAGGAGGAACACCGGUAGCGAAGGCGGCUUACUGGACCGUAACUGACGUUGAGGCUCGAAAGCGUGGGGAGCAAACAGGAUUAGAUACCCUGGUAGUC
Molecule: ribosomal RNA, 458 nt
Filed under: uncultured bacterium
Lineage: Bacteria
Description: partial 16S ribosomal RNA
Rfam family: Bacterial small subunit ribosomal RNA
Source: RNAcentral